RNAcentral lists this ribosomal RNA (301 nucleotides) under uncultured bacterium. RNAcentral describes it as "partial 16S ribosomal RNA". It matches the Rfam family "Bacterial small subunit ribosomal RNA", at positions 509 to 807 of the family's 1533-position model. The record is from RNAcentral.
CAGCCGCCGCGGGAAAACGUAGGGUGCAAGCGUUAAUCGGAAUUACUGGGCGUAAAGCGUGCGCAGGCGGUCCGCUAAGACAGAUGUGAAAUCCCCGGGCUUAACCUGGGAACUGCAUUUGUGACUGGCGGGCUAGAGUAUGGCAGAGGGGGGUAGAAUUCCACGUGUAGCAGUGAAAUGCGUAGAGAUGUGGAGGAAUACCGAUGGCGAAGGCAGCCCCCUGGGCCAAUACUGACGCUCAUGCACGAAAGCGUGGGGAGCAAACAGGAUUAGAUACCCGAGUAGUCCCUGUCUCUUAUAC